This 1165-nucleotide long non-coding RNA is filed under the name Equus asinus (donkey). RNAcentral's name for it is "lncRNA (ENSEASG00005026959.1)". Lineage: Eukaryota; Metazoa; Chordata; Mammalia; Perissodactyla; Equidae. The record is from RNAcentral.
CAACUUAUGUAAAGUAUUUCUCUGCCUUAGUUCAGGCUUUCAGACCGUGGCAGACAGUGCUCCACAUUCCUGCUCAUCUGGUUAUGCCCCUGCUUAAAUGACUUCAAUAACAACGAUGGUAACAGUAAUAGUAAUGACAGCUACCAGUGCUUCCUUUGUGCCGGCACCACCUGAGGCCCAUUCACAGUGGCUCUUGACCAUUACACUUCCUGCCUCUUGCCAAUUACCUCCCUCCAUGCUGGGAUCCCUUCCACAAAUGAUGUGACUUUGGAGUCCCUUUAAAAUCCAAAGCUUUGACACUAAGCCUAGAUUCAAAUCUGAGUGGGUUGGGAUAUUGGGUUCGGCUGUGUAAAUGUAACAGAUGCUCAAAGUAGCAGUGAUUUAAACAAGAUGCCAGUCUUUCCCUCUGGUGUAGAAGUCCUUGCAGGCAUGCAGCUCUGCUCUGCGAAGCUGUCAGAGGCCCGGGCUCUUUCUGUGCUUUGCUCUCCCUGAGGUGUCCCCUGCUUCACGGGGUUCAUGACAGGCCACCACAUCCAGGGUUUAGGGACACAACCCAGAAGUCCCUCAGACCAGCUGCAUUCAGAUCCUACAGCCAGAUCUUAGCUUGAGGCUACAGGCAGGUGCAAGUGAGGCUGGGAAUGCAGACUACUCUGGGAGGCAGGCUCAAGUUCCAUUAGUGUGGAAGGAAGAACUGAUACUGGGGUUCAACCAGAAGGCCUUCAAACUACUGGUUUUUAGCCGUGUGCGUUCCUCCUGGUCCUUCAAAAGCGAUGCCAAGAUGGGAUUAGCUGUGCAUGAGAUUUCUCCGGGAAUGCGGGUUUUGGGGCAGUGGACACACCUGAGCGGAGCUUGCCUUAGAAAGCUUCAGACAACACUGAACUUCACCGCAGACGCUCCCCUCAGGCCUCCGGGAAUAUCAGGAAGCACUUUCAAAAACAAACCCACCUCCUCUUAGGGCUGGCCCCGUGGCCGAGUGGUUAAGUCCGCGCGCACCGCUGCAGGCGGCCCAGUGUUUCGUUGGUUCGAAUCCUGGGCGCGGACAUGGCACUGCUCAUCAAACCACGCUGAGGCAGCGUCCCACAUGGCAAAACUAGAAGGACCCACAACGAAGAAUGUACAACUAUGUACUGGGGGGCUUUGGGGAGAAAAAGGAAAAAAAAUAAAA